UGGCAGUCAGAGGCGAUGAAGGGCGUGCUAAUCUGCGAUAAGCGCCGGUAAGGUGAUAUGAACCGUUAUAACCGGCGAUACCCGAAUGGGGAAACCCAGUGUGAUUCGUCACACUAUCAUUAACUGAAUCCAUAGGUUAAUGAGGCGAACCGGGGGAACUGAAACAUCUAAGUACCCCGAGGAAAAGAAAUCAACCGAGAUUCCCCCAGUAGCGGCGAGCGAACGGGGAGGAGCCCAGAGCCUGAAUCAGCAUGUGUGUUAGUGGAAGCGUCUGGAAAGGCGCGCGAUACAGGGUGACAGCCCCGUACACAAAAGCGCAUGUGCUGUGAGCUCGAUGAGUAGGGCGGGACACGUGGUAUCCUGUCUGAAUAUGGGGGGACCAUCCUCCAAGGCUAAAUACUCCUGACUGACCGAUAGUGAACCAGUACCGUGAGGGAAAGGCGAAAAGAACCCCGGCGAGGGGAGUGAAAAAGAACCUGAAACCGUGUACGUACAAGCAGUGGGAGCACNGUGUGACUGCGUACCUUUUGUAUAAUGGGUCAGCGACUUAUAUUCUGUAGCAAGGUUAACCGUAUAGGGGAGCCGGAGGGAAACCGAGUCUUAACCGGGCGUUAAGUUGCAGGGUAUAGACCCGAAACCCGGUGAUCUAGCCAUGGGCAGGUUGAAGGUUGGGUAACACUAACUGGAGGACCGAACCGACUAAUGUUGAAAAAUUAGCGGAUGACCUGUGGCUGGGGGUGAAAGGCCAAUCAAACCGGGAGAUAGCUGGUUCUCCCCGAAAGCUAUUUAGGUAGCGCCUCGUGAAUUCAUCUCCGGGGGUAGAGCACUGUUUCGGCUAGGGGGCCAUCCCGGCUUACCAACCCGAUGCAAACUGCGAAUACCGGAGAAUGUUAUCACGGGAGACACACGGCGGGUGCUAACGUCCGUCGUGAAGAGGGAAACAACCCAGACCGCCAGCUAAGGUCCCAAAGUCAUGGUUAAGUGGGAAACGAUGUGGGAAGGCCCAGACAGCCAGGAUGUUGGCUUAGAAGCAGCCAUCAUUUAAAGAAAGCGUAAUAGCUCACUGGUCGAGUCGGCCUGCGCGGAAGAUGUAACGGGGCUAAACCAUGCACCGAAGCUGCGGCAGCGAACGUAUCACCCAAGACAACUUUACGGAGUUGACGAUUGACGGAGCGAAGCGACGUCAAAGCGUUCAUUAAAGUCGAGUUGGCUUAGGGAUACGUUCGUUGGGUAGGGGAGCGUUCUGUAAGCCUGUGAAGGUGUGUCGUGAGGCAUGCUGGAGGUAUCAGAAGUGCGAAUGCUGACAUAAGUAACGAUAAAGCGGGUGAAAAGCCCGCUCGCCGGAAGACCAAGGGUUCCUGUCCAACGUUAAUCGGGGCAGGGUGAGUCGACCCCUAAGGCGAGGCCGAAAGGCGUAGUCGAUGGGAAACGGGUUAAUAUUCCCGUACUUGGUGUUACUGCGAAGGGGGGACGGAGAAGGCUAUGUUGGCCGGGCGACGGUUGUCCCGGUUUAAGCGUGUAGGUGUGUGUUCCAGGUAAAUCCGGUUCACUUUAACACUGAGGCGUGACGACGAGGCACUACGGUGCUGAAGCAACAAAUGCCCUGCUUCCAGGAAAAGCCUCUAAGCAUCAGGUAACACGAAAUCGUACCCCAAACCGACACAGGUGGUCAGGUAGAGAAUACCAAGGCGCUUGAGAGAACUCGGGUGAAGGAACUAGGCAAAAUGGUGCCGUAACUUCGGGAGAAGGCACGCUGACACGUAGGUGAAGUGAUUUACUCAUGGAGCUGAAGUCAGUCGAAGAUACCAGCUGGCUGCAACUGUUUAUUAAAAACACAGCACUGUGCAAACACGAAAGUGGACGUAUACGGUGUGACGCCUGCCCGGUGCCGGAAGGUUAAUUGAUGGGGUCAGCGCAAGCGAAGCUCCUGAUCGAAGCCCCGGUAAACGGCGGCCGUAACUAUAACGGUCCUAAGGUAGCGAAAUUCCUUGUCGGGUAAGUUCCGACCUGCACGAAUGGCGUAAUGAUGGCCAGGCUGUCUCCACCCGAGACUCAGUGAAAUUGAACUCGCUGUGAAGAUGCAGUGUACCCGCGGCAAGACGGAAAGACCCCGUGAACCUUUACUAUAGCUUGACACUGAACAUUGAGCCUUGAUGUGUAGGAUAGGUGGGAGGCUUUGAAGUGUGGACGCCAGUCUGCAUGGAGCCGACCUUGAAAUACCACCCUUUAAUGUUUGAUGUUCUAACGUGGACCCGUAAUCCGGGUUGCGGACAGUGUCUGGUGGGUAGUUUGACUGGGGCGGUCUCCUCCUAAAGAGUAACGGAGGAGCACGAAGGUUGGCUAAUCCUGGUCGGACAUCAGGAGGUUAGUGCAAUGGCAUAAGCCAGCUUGACUGCGAGCGUGACGGCGCGAGCAGGUGCGAAAGCAGGUCAUAGUGAUCCGGUGGUUCUGAAUGGAAGGGCCAUCGCUCAACGGAUAAAAGGUACUCCGGGGAUAACAGGCUGAUACCGCCCAAGAGUUCAUAUCGACGGCGGUGUUUGGCACCUCGAUGUCGGCUCAUCACAUCCUGGGGCUGAAGUAGGUCCCAAGGGUAUGGCUGUUCGCCAUUUAAAGUGGUACGCGAGCUGGGUUUAGAACGUCGUGAGACAGUUCGGUCCCUAUCUGCCGUGGGCGCUGGAGAACUGAGGGGGGCUGCUCCUAGUACGAGAGGACCGGAGUGGACGCAUCACUGGUGUUCGGGUUGUCAUGCCAAUGGCACUGCCCGGUAGCUAAAUGCGGAAGAGAUAAGUGCUGAAAGCAUCUAAGCACGAAACUUGCCCCGAGAUGAGUUCUCCCUGAGACUUAGAGUCUCCUGAAGGAACGUUGAAGACGACGACGUUGAUAGGCCGGGUGUGUAAGCGCAGCGAUGCGUUGAGCUAACCGGUACUAAUGAACCGUGAGGCUUAACCUU
RNAcentral lists this ribosomal RNA (2950 nucleotides) under Salmonella enterica subsp. enterica serovar Typhimurium str. DT104. RNAcentral describes it as "bacterial LSU rRNA". It matches the Rfam family "Bacterial large subunit ribosomal RNA". Lineage: Bacteria; Pseudomonadati; Pseudomonadota; Gammaproteobacteria; Enterobacterales; Enterobacteriaceae. The record is from RNAcentral.